This 422-nucleotide ribosomal RNA is filed under the name uncultured eukaryotic phytoplankton. RNAcentral's name for it is "bacterial SSU rRNA". It matches the Rfam family "Bacterial small subunit ribosomal RNA", at positions 358 to 795 of the family's 1533-position model. The record is from RNAcentral.
GGAAUUUUCCGCAAUGGGCGAAAGCCUGACGGAGCAAUACCGCGUGAGGGAUGACGGCCUGUGGGUUGUAAACCUCUUUUCUCAAGGAAGAAGUUCUGACGGUACUUGAGGAAUAAGCAUCGGCUAACUCUGUGCCAGCAGCCGCGGUAAUACAGAGGAUGCAAGCGUUAUCCGGAAUCACUGGGCAUAAAGCGUCUGUAGGUGGUUUGGUAAGUCUGCUGUUAAAGACUGGGGCUCAACCCCAGAAAAGCAGUGGAAACUGCCAGACUUGAGUGUGGUAGAGGUAGAGGGAAUUCCUAGUGUAGCGGUGAAAUGCGUAGAUAUUAGAAAGAACACCGGUGGCGAAAGCGCUCUACUGGACCAUUACUGACACUCAGAGACGAAAGCUAGGGUAGCAAAUGGGAUUAGAUACCCCAGUAGUC